AAAAAUAUAUGAAUUACCAACAAAUAUAAGUAUUGAAUUGAGAAAUAUAAAUAUGGAAUAAGUUGAACUAUUUAACGCCCCUCCCCUGCCAGCUACGUGGCAUUGAUGUUACGUCUGCGUGGCGGGAAUACGGUCAAAAUUAUAAUUAUAAAUUUGAUGGAAUUAUUUAUGAUUUUUUUUUUUUUUGAGUGCCAAAUACAAAAAAAGUCAAAGUUUAUGUGUCUAAGAAAAAUAUAUAUUGCAAAAAAAUAUAAGUAUUGAAUAGGAAGAACAUAAGUAUGAAAUACGAUAAAGGGUUCAACUUUUGUUCCUUCCCUUGCGUGGCGGGAUAAAAUCAAAAUUAUAAUUAUUAAUUUAAUAGGACUAUUUGUGAAAUUCUUUUCUUUUGAGAAAGUCAAAUGCAAAA
RNAcentral lists this long non-coding RNA (406 nucleotides) under Ananas comosus (pineapple). RNAcentral describes it as "long non-coding RNA (ACOM_LNC033987)". The record is from RNAcentral. Lineage: Eukaryota; Viridiplantae; Streptophyta; Magnoliopsida; Poales; Bromeliaceae.